RNAcentral lists this transfer RNA (72 nucleotides) under Anaerolineae bacterium. Its description in RNAcentral is "tRNA-Lys". It matches the Rfam family "tRNA". From Rfam's summary of the family: Transfer RNA (tRNA) molecules are approximately 80 nucleotides in length. Their secondary structure includes four short double-helical elements and three loops (D, anti-codon, and T loops). Further hydrogen bonds mediate the characteristic L-shaped molecular structure. tRNAs have two regions of fundamental functional importance: the anti-codon, which is responsible for specific mRNA codon recognition, and the 3' end, to which the tRNAs corresponding amino acid is attached (by aminoacyl-tRNA synthetases). tRNAs cope with the degeneracy of the genetic code in two manners: having more than one tRNA (with a specific anti-codon) for a particular amino acid; and 'wobble' base-pairing, i.e. permitting non-standard base-pairing at the 3rd anti-codon position. Lineage: Bacteria; Bacillati; Chloroflexota; Anaerolineae. The record is from RNAcentral.
GGGCUGGAAGCAUUGGCGGUGAUGCAGGGGACUUUUAAUCCUCAGAACGGGGUUCAACUCCCUGGCAGCCCA